Molecule: long non-coding RNA, 384 nt
Filed under: Mytilus galloprovincialis (Mediterranean mussel)
Lineage: Eukaryota; Metazoa; Mollusca; Bivalvia; Mytilida; Mytilidae
Source: RNAcentral
UAAAAUCUUGAAAAUGUGGUAUAACCCUGACAGUUAUAAACAUGCAAUAUCCAGAACCCAGACAGGUGAAAAUCUGCAACCUAUGGAAGGACCCUGAUAGGUGAGCAUUAAAACAUACAUGUGCAGAACACCUGUGGUUGAUCAAACACGAGUGUUUAGAUGAGAAUCCUCAGGUAGAUUUAAACAAAAUUUGGGCUAGACGGUAAGGCACUCAACCCUGCAUGAUUGAUUGAUAGAUUGUUGGUUGCUUACCGUUCAGUGGCCAUCCUGCAUGAAAACCUGCUAUUAAUCCAUCAAUUCAACUACCUAAAAAUCCAUAGUACGGAUGGUCAUUCACAUACUCUGAUAAACUGUUAAUUUUAAAGUGGAAACUGAAGUCUAAAC